CCUACGGGUGGCAGCAGUGGGGAAUAUUGGACAAUGGGGGGAACCCUGAUCCAGCCAUGCCGCGUGUGUGAAGAAGGCCCUCGGGUUGUAAAGCACUUUCAGUGAGGAAGAACGCCUGGUGGUUAAUACCCAUCAGGAAAGACAUCACUCACAGAAGAAGCACCGGCUAACUCCGUGCCAGCAGCCGCGGUAAUACGGAGGGUGCGAGCGUUAAUCGGAAUUACUGGGCGUAAAGCGCGCGUAGGUGGCUUGAUAAGCCGGUUGUGAAAGCCCCGGGCUCAACCUGGGAACGGCAUCCGGAACUGUCAAGCUAGAGUGCAGGAGAGGAAGGUAGAAUUCCCGGUGUAGCGGUGAAAUGCGUAGAGAUCGGGAGGAAUACCAGUGGCGAAGGCGGCCUUCUGGACUGACACUGACACUGAGGUGCGAAAGCGUGGGUAGCAAACAGGAUUAUAUACCCCAGUAGUC
This 465-nucleotide ribosomal RNA is filed under the name Vreelandella stevensii. RNAcentral describes it as "partial 16S ribosomal RNA". It matches the Rfam family "Bacterial small subunit ribosomal RNA", at positions 338 to 795 of the family's 1533-position model. Lineage: Bacteria; Pseudomonadati; Pseudomonadota; Gammaproteobacteria; Oceanospirillales; Halomonadaceae. The record is from RNAcentral.